This 446-nucleotide ribosomal RNA is filed under the name uncultured bacterium. RNAcentral's name for it is "partial 16S ribosomal RNA". It matches the Rfam family "Bacterial small subunit ribosomal RNA", at positions 338 to 795 of the family's 1533-position model. The record is from RNAcentral.
CCUACGGGCGGCAGCAGUCGAGAAUCAUUCACAAUGGGGGAAACCCUGAUGGUGCGACGCCGCGUGGGGGAAUGAAGGUCUUCGGAUUGUAAACCCCUGUCAUGUGGGAGCAAAUUAAAAAGAUAGUACCACAAGAGGAAGAGACGGCUAACUCUGUGCCAGCAGCCGCGGUAAUACAGAGGUCUCAAGCGUUGUUCGGAAUCACUGGGCGUAAGGCGUGCGUAGGCUGUUUCGUAAGUCGUGUGUGAAAGGCGCGGGCUCAACCCGCGGACGGCACAUGAUACUGCGAGACUAGAGUAAUGGAGGGGGAACCGGAAUUCUCGGUGUAGCAGUGAAAUGCGUAGAUAUCGAGAGGAACACUCGUGGCGAAGGCGGGUUCCUGGACAUUAACUGACGCUGAGGCACGAAGGCCAGGGGAGCGAAAGGGAUUAGAUAUCCCGGUAGUC